This 1150-nucleotide long non-coding RNA is filed under the name Homo sapiens (human). RNAcentral's name for it is "HSALNT0324084". The record is from RNAcentral. Lineage: Eukaryota; Metazoa; Chordata; Mammalia; Primates; Hominidae.
GCCGCUGGAGUCGCCCAGACUGCCUCGGAUUUCAUAAUGAAUCUGAGGAAGGACAAAGGGUACAUUGGACCGCCUCAGCUCAGAGGCCCCGCGGACCCUGGGCCCCGCGAUGCCCGAGGGGCGGGCGGCGCCCUCCGGAUCCUGCACCCUCAGCCCGUGCCCCGCUGGCCUCCUGGCAGGCCGGGCAGAAUUCUGCUGCGAGGGCCCUGGAGGCAAGGGCCUUCCUCUCCGUUUUUCCUUGACACUGACGGGCGCGGCCCCACAGGGUUUCCCCCACGCUCCCUGGCCGGAAGACCUUUUCUGUCUGGUGUCUGCAGAGCCUGACGUGGGCAGCGCCCGCAGCUCGCGCCGGUGCAGGGGAGCUGAGGGCCGACUGCGCGCUGCACCACGGCGGCCACCUGCUGUGCGGUUCUGAGGGCUUCCGCGGUUCUGAGGGCUUCCGCGUCCCUGCCAUGCCCAUCUUGGGGCUUCAGAAGCCAACACGAUGGUUUUCGGGCUCACAUCCCAAAGGCUGCUCUUCCUUUUAGCACCUGGGACCUACCAGGAACCUCAACCUCUAACAACAUUGGUCCCCGUUACCGUGGAGUUUGCGCCCAGCGUUCGCUGGAGGGCCGUUUGAAGAAUGAUUGUUGUCGUAAAGGCCUUUGAUAAUAAUAGAUACUGUUUACCCAGUGCUUGAUGCCAGGCAUUGCUACAAACACUGCGUACACAUUAUUCUAUUUAAUCUUCAUAACCCAGUGAGGAUAUCAACCAGGAUAUGGCAUUGCAUUGGAUCCCAACCAGGAUAUGACGUUACAUUGGAUCCCAACCAGGAUAUGGCAUUGCACUGGAUCCCAACCAGGAUAUGGCAUUGCACUGGAUCCCAACCAGGAUAUGGCAUUGCGUUGGAUCCCAACCAGGUUAUGGCAUUACAUUGGAUCCCAACCAGGUUAUGGCAUUGCAUUGGAUCCCAACCAGGAUAUGACAUUGCAUUUACUCAUCACGCCUCCUUAGGUUCCUCUUGGCUGUGACGGUUUCUCAGACUAUCCUUGUUUUUUAGGACCUUGACAGUUUUGAGGCAUACUGGAGAGCUCAACGUGGGCGUUUCUUUCUGUAACAAGUAUGCAUCAUGGCUGGCUGACUCCUCCCCAUAACAAGCAGUUUAAAGGUG